Molecule: long non-coding RNA, 237 nt
Organism: Cervus elaphus (red deer)
Lineage: Eukaryota; Metazoa; Chordata; Mammalia; Artiodactyla; Cervidae
Exons: 4
Source: RefSeq, a predicted model, not a curated record
AAGAAAAUACAGGCAAUGGCUGCUCAAAAUAAUUAAGAAGGCAUUCUAAAUACCACAUAUUAUUAGACAACAGCGUGUAAAGUGAUGCAAUUAGAAAACAGGCAACUUAAAAAAAAUAUGGUCACAGGUCUUUGAGAACUCAAGAAAACAAUCAAUAGCAAACACAAGAGCUGAAAGUUGUCUCAGCUGAGGGUUGAAACUGAAAGUGAAAGUGAAAGUGAUGUUGCUCAGUCGUAU